Pantherophis guttatus is the source of this 2699-nucleotide non-coding RNA. The record is from RefSeq and is a predicted model, not a curated record. Lineage: Eukaryota; Metazoa; Chordata; Lepidosauria; Squamata; Colubridae.
GCCAACAAUGCAGUAGACACAAAUGGUCUGGAAGAAAUGGCCACUGUUUCUGUGGAACUUAUUCUUGUGUAAAAAUAUACAUAACUAUAAUCUCAGGCUGCAAACUUACCCUUACAUACUUAAAGGCUAUUUAUGGUAUUCUCGUGAGUCUUUUCAACAUGAAAGAUCUACUAAGUCUCACACAGUGUGCAAAAAUCCUAAAAACAAAGCCCUGAAAAAAGUCACUUUUAAGUAUAAGUAUAAUUUCUGACCUACAUUACUGCUGUGAUGCAAGAGAUGGAGUGGCUUUGACAAGCUUGUGCAAAUCUAAAGAAUUCAAAUUGAACACUGACAUUUUUGUCAUUCAGGUAGGCUGAUGUCCUCCCUACCCACCCCGAAAUGCAACAAGGAGUGAUAGCAUGAACUUAAAUGGAGAGAUAGUAUACCUCUGAACCUGCCAACUCUGAAUAAAAUAAAUUCUACUGCCAAUUGCAAUCUUAUUUUUCUUCCUAGGAGACUUCUUAGUUACAACAGGCUUGGAGAUACAUUAUUAAAUGGCUUGCACUGCCUGCUCCCAGUCCAAGGAGAUGCUCCCAGUCCAAAAUGAAUGUAAAUAAUGAAUGUAAAUAAACAGCACCAUCUUGUAAAGGCUUACUUAGCAGUAGGUCUUGGUGUAUUCAGUAGGGAUAGCUUAUAAAUACUGUAAUUAUCCAUAAUAUUGCAGCUAGAAAACUAAAUUAUUUUCCAAAGAGAGUUUUCUGAAAUCUAAGCAAAAGUAUAAAUGAAGUUAGAAUGUGAACAGAAACUAGUAACGUAAUUUAGCACUUUGAGAGCAUUUUUAAUGAGUUGUGAUAUUUCAAAUAAAUUAUUAGUUCAGUAAUUUAAGUAGUGCCUUUGCUCUUCUUAUAUUCAGCUCUUCAGCCACCAAGACAAGGCCGCCGUGUCCUUCGGAGCCAAGAGGAGUCUAGAGAUAUUCCCUAUCUCCCAAUGGAUCAGUACAAUGUCAUUGGGGAAUGAUGUGAUGAUCUUCCAAGCUAAGGCAAUAAGAUACCAAUGAUCUAGUCAGUGUGCCAAUCAAAUGAUCUAGCAGAAAUUUUAGCUUAUGGAGAAAAUGCCCUUCUGCUUUUCCUAUUAGCCAGUCGAACAGCCUGAUAGUAUGAUAGUAGGACUCCAGUUGUCUGUGCUUGGCCCCCAAAUCACUUACUGCAUUUGUAUUAGCCUUACUAGGUAGACCAGAACAGGAAAUCAACUUUAUUGGAAAGCUAAAAUUAUUUUACUAAGAUUGGUUAUACAGUGAUAUCCUGGUACUCAACCUUAAUUGGUUUGGGGAGCUACGAUGACUACCAAAAAUAGCAAUAGCACUUAGACUUAUAUACCGCUUCACAGUGCUUUACUAAGCACUACACAGGGCUCUCUCUAAGCGGCUUACAGAGUCAGCAUCUUGCCUCCAAAAAUCUGGCUCCUCAUUUUACCCACCUCGGAAGGAUGAAAGGCUGAGUCAACCUUGAGCCUGGUGAGAUUCAAACUACCAAAUUGCAAUUAGCUGGCAGUCAGCAGAAGUAGCCUGCAGUACUGCAUUCUAACCACUGUGCCACCAGGGCUCUUAAUGAUGAGUACCAAGCAAUUUUUCCCCAUAAGGAAUAAUGUAGUGAGUCACAAGGCAGCUGACACUAACAAGUUCUAGCUUGUACAUUAAGUACCAAACAAACAAUGAGCACUGGGACAAAUUUUCAGGUCAAAAUGUAUUGAGUACCAAAUUUUGAAUGCCAAGGCACCACUGUAAUAAUAGGUCUAAUUGUGCAGUACCACCUCCUCCUUAUUCUAGUUCUAUGAAUUAGGGAGGCAUCUGCCUGAGCUUCUCUAUCAAGGUCAUCAUCUUUACUUUUUACAAUUUCUUCCACUAUAGUUACAACUCUUUAAGAAAAAUGGAAACUGAACCGUAGCGCAGGCUUCUAAUUGUGCAUGCACAAUCUACUUAUGUCUUUUCUAUAUAGAUGUAUUGCUGUGCAUGUUAUUUUUAUGGUUAACUUUUAUUUUUGUAUGUUUUGUCAUUUGUAUAGCAUGAGAGAAAAUCCUCAGAAUAUGAAGAAAGAAUGUAAUGUUUACAAUCAGUUCAUUGGGGAUCAAUCUGACAAUGGACUGCAUUAAUACUUAGAAUGUAAGAAGACCCAUGUAAAGGUGUAACACUGGAUAUUUAAUUCAUUUAUUUAUUCAUUUAUAUGAAAGAAUGAAUGUUAAAAAUGGGGGAGGGACUCAUCCUCGGUGAAGACUUCAGAAACUGAAAGUGAAGUCUUGAAAUGUGGGGGGGGGGCUGUACAUUUGGUCAGAAUCCAUGGUCCUUAGACAAGCCGGAUUUAAUACCUCUUUUCAUAAUACUGUCAUUUUUCUUCAUGUAAUAGAAUACAAAAUUUGCAAGGCUUCAGAUUUCCUAUCACAUAGAUAUAGUUUUGGGACAGCAUUUUGUACCUUUGAAAUGCAUACAUUGUAUGCCUUUGCAUAUUUAAAGAGUUACAAAGCAAAAUCCAAAGGAGGAAUAUGUAUGCAUUGCAAAAUGUUUGAAUUGUUUGAAGUGUCCAUUGUAACUAAUUGAAUGACUGAACUGGAUUACCAUUUCAAGUGUGAUAAAAAUGCUAAUUACCAUUUCCUUCUACUUGUUGUCCCUUUAUGAUUUUCAUUAGAACCGAACAGCUACAUGGAAAUAAUAAACCCUCCAAAUUCUG